RNAcentral lists this ribosomal RNA (462 nucleotides) under Fusarium sp. S32 JMSL-2016. RNAcentral describes it as "eukaryotic LSU rRNA". The stretch from base 117 to 270 matches the Rfam family "5.8S ribosomal RNA". Lineage: Eukaryota; Fungi; Ascomycota; Sordariomycetes; Hypocreales; Nectriaceae. The record is from RNAcentral.
UACCACUUGUUGCCUCGGCGGAUCAGCCCGCUCCCGGUAAAACGGGACGGCCCGCCAGAGGACCCCUAAACUCUGUUUCUAUAUGUAACUUCUGAGUAAAACCAUAAAUAAAUCAAAACUUUCAACAACGGAUCUCUUGGUUCUGGCAUCGAUGAAGAACGCAGCAAAAUGCGAUAAGUAAUGUGAAUUGCAGAAUUCAGUGAAUCAUCGAAUCUUUGAACGCACAUUGCGCCCGCCAGUAUUCUGGCGGGCAUGCCUGUUCGAGCGUCAUUUCAACCCUCAAGCACAGCUUGGUGUUGGGACUCGCGUUAAUUCGCGUUCCCCAAAUUGAUUGGCGGUCACGUCGAGCUUCCAUAGCGUAGUAGUAAAACCCUCGUUACUGGUAAUCGUCGCGGCCACGCCGUUAAACCCCAACUUCUGAAUGUUGACCUCGGAUCAGGUAGGAAUACCCGCUGAACUUAA